AUUGAACGCUGGCGGCAUGCCUUACACAUGCAAGUCGAACGGCAGCACGGGUGCUUGCACCUGGUGGCGAGUGGCGAACGGGUGAGUAAUACAUCGGAACAUGUCCUGUAGUGGGGGAUAGCCCGGCGAAAGCCGGAUUAAUACCGCAUACGAUCUACGGAUGAAAGCGGGGGACCUUCGGGCCUCGCGCUAUAGGGUUGGCCGAUGGCUGAUUAGCUAGUUGGUGGGGUAAAGGCCUACCAAGGCGACGAUCAGUAGCUGGUCUGAGAGGACGACCAGCCACACUGGGACUGAGACACGGCCCAGACUCCUACGGGAGGCAGCAGUGGGGAAUUUUGGACAAUGGGCGAAAGCCUGAUCCAGCAAUGCCGCGUGUGUGAAGAAGGGCUUCGGGUUGUAAAGCACUUUUGUCCGGAAAGAAAUCCUUGGCUCUAAUACAGUCGGGGGAUGACGGUACCGGAAGAAUAAGCACCGGCUAACUACGUG
This 486-nucleotide ribosomal RNA is filed under the name uncultured bacterium. RNAcentral's name for it is "partial 16S ribosomal RNA". It matches the Rfam family "Bacterial small subunit ribosomal RNA", at positions 30 to 507 of the family's 1533-position model. The record is from RNAcentral.